This 1118-nucleotide long non-coding RNA is filed under the name Mus musculus (house mouse). RNAcentral describes it as "lincRNA-EC28". Lineage: Eukaryota; Metazoa; Chordata; Mammalia; Rodentia; Muridae. The record is from RNAcentral.
CACUGAUAGGGAAGAAAGAGCCUGUGCAGAAACAUUUUCAUCUGAUUUCCUCAGUGAGUAAGCAGCUAUAACAAGUCCAGCCACAGCUGAAAUGGGAGCCUUGAAGCCACCUUGAAAGUAGAGACUGAGAAGAGGAUACACAAGAUGUGACUGUCCUUGGGCAAGAUACAUAGCAUCAUCAAGUUGGGACCAUACGGUAGACAAAGAGAAGAACAACAUGAGGUCUGAAAGAAAGGCUGGAAGAUCAACUCCUAUUUGCAUUGACCAGAGACUUGGAGGAGGAAACCUGUAUUGUAUUUGUUUUGUUUUGUUUUUUAAGUGAACCACAGAGAUAUUUAUAUGUAAAACGAGAAUCAUUAGAAGAAUGUGGCUUGUUAAAAACAACAGUAACCAAAACCAACCUAACCAAACAAACAAACAAAAAGCAGAAUGGAAAACAGUGAAAACUAGAAGCCACGAAGACACUAUGGCUGCCAUGCCAGGCAUUUCUGCUUCACUACAGAUCUUUAAUUCGGUGUUGAGGUACAUAUUAACAGGCAAGUCUUCAGAUAUAUGAGGACAUGUAAAGGAGUUAAAUAAACCAAAGACCCUACACAAAAGGAAAAGAGAAAUGUAAUUUAGUUUAAAAGGCAGUGUCUUGUUCUUAGGCAGUGAUUACUACCACCUCCAUUGUAGAGUACAACAAAAAUCCACAACUAAGAGAAUGGGUAAACUGAGUUCAUGUAAAUGAGACUUUCAUGUUUUAUUUUUCCUGUUUUGCAUUCCUUGAAAUAUAAAUAUUUCAUCUAAAUGCCAACGGACCUGUUCAAAAUUCCUACAAGGGGAUGGGAAGAUAGCUCCAUCGAUUAAGAACACUUGCUCUGAAAGCAGAGACACUCAGUUCAAAACCCCAGCAUCCACAAAAACCAUCAAGAACAGUUGUACAUGCCUGUAACCCCAACAUUGAGGGUUGAAACAGGUGAAUUUCCAGCGUUCACUAGCCAUCUUCAGGUUCAAUGAAGUCAUCAUAUCUCAAGGCCAUAAGGCAGAUAACCAUUAAAGAAGACAUCCAAAGUCUUGUUCUGGGCUUCCACGUGUACAAAUCUGUACACACCUGGACAGAGUCACUCUCCUAAGGA